Molecule: non-coding RNA, 665 nt
Organism: Nicotiana tabacum (common tobacco)
Lineage: Eukaryota; Viridiplantae; Streptophyta; Magnoliopsida; Solanales; Solanaceae
Source: RefSeq, a predicted model, not a curated record
AAGAUGUUGUACUAUCUGACAUUUCAGAAUUUUAGGGUAGAAUAUUCCUUUUUUAUGCUAUCUUUGUGCAUCUUAUAAAAGGAAUAGACCCUCACUCGUUCACACACAGACUAUCAUCAGCAUUAGGCAAUCUAAAAGGCAACUUUGAUACACAAGGAAUUCUGGAAAUUGAUUUUCACACUGGUUUUUCUUCCUUUUUCUGGGUUUCCAAGUGGAUUUGAAAAUAGAAAUAGCUCCUUGUUUCCCUAGUUCAUAAUCCCUGCUAUUUAAAGUUGGUUUUAGUCAAAUAUUCUGGGAUUUUUGUUGCUGUUCUAUUUGCUGCUGCUAUUUUGAGUGUUGCUGGCUUUUAUUUGAUCAUAAAUCCUUCUCGUUAAGCUAUCUUGAGGAAGGUUAAAGAAUGGCUAAGGGAUGAAUCUGACCACCAGUUAGUCAGAUCCAUCUCUGUGAAGUGUCUCAUUCACAAACGCAUGAAUGGAAGAGCUUGAAUGUGUAGUUCUAUUGUUGUUCAUUGCCAGUGCUGAAAGAAAAAAGUAUAAGAGUUACUUUGGAAUCUUAUUUUGAUUCAAGUUUGUAAAUGAUAGUUUUAAUUGAUAGAAUAGCUUAUUAACGUAUUUCAAAUUUUCCCAAAAAACUGGAAUUUUUAAUGUUCUGAUUAGUUUUAUUUA